RNAcentral lists this ribosomal RNA (765 nucleotides) under uncultured bacterium. Its description in RNAcentral is "bacterial SSU rRNA". It matches the Rfam family "Bacterial small subunit ribosomal RNA", at positions 754 to 1520 of the family's 1533-position model. The record is from RNAcentral.
CGAAAGCGUGGGUAGCAAACAGGAUUAGAUACCCUGGUAGUCCACGCCGUAAACGAUGUCUACUAGUCGUUGGGUCCCUUGAGGACUUAGUGACGCAGCUAACGCAAUAAGUAGACCGCCUGGGGAGUACGGCCGCAAGGUUAAAACUCAAAUGAAUUGACGGGGGCCCGCACAAGCGGUGGAGCAUGUGGUUUAAUUCGAUGCAACGCGAAGAACCUUACCUGGUCUUGACAUAUCUAGAAUCUUGUAGAGAUACGAGAGUGCCUUCGGGAAUUAGAAUACAGGUGCUGCAUGGCUGUCGUCAGCUCGUGUCGUGAGAUGUUGGGUUAAGUCCCGCAACGAGCGCAACCCUUGUCCUUAGUUACCAGCGGGUUAAGCCGGGAACUCUAAGGAUACUGCCAGUGACAAACUGGAGGAAGGCGGGGACGACGUCAAGUCAUCAUGGCCCUUACGACCAGGGCUACACACGUGCUACAAUGGUAGGUACAGAGGGCAGCUACACAGCGAUGUGAUGCGAAUCUUUCAAAGCCUAUCGUAGUCCAGAUUGGAGUCUGCAACUCGACUCCAUGAAGUAGGAAUCGCUAGUAAUCGCGGAUCAGAAUGCCGCGGUGAAUACGUUCCCGGGCCUUGUACACACCGCCCGUCACACCAUGGGAGUUGAUUGCACCAGAAGUGGUUAGCCUAACGUAAGAGGGCGAUCACCACGGUGUGGUUGAUGACUGGGGUGAAGUCGUAACAAGGUAGCCGUAGGGGAACCUGCGGCUG